GAGGGAUUCGAACCCUCGGUAAACAAAAGCUUGCAUAGCAUUUCCA
This 46-nucleotide transfer RNA is filed under the name Calliergonellopsis dieckii. Its description in RNAcentral is "partial tRNA-Ser". The record is from RNAcentral. Lineage: Eukaryota; Viridiplantae; Streptophyta; Bryopsida; Hypnales; Pylaisiaceae.